Solanum lycopersicum (tomato) is the source of this 1289-nucleotide non-coding RNA. NCBI's taxonomy places the organism in Eukaryota, Viridiplantae, Streptophyta, Magnoliopsida, Solanales, Solanaceae. The record is from RefSeq and is a predicted model, not a curated record.
GCCGCGUGUGCCCCAAUAGAUACACUCUAAUGCUACCGCCGAUUCACAUGUAUAUAUAUUCCAAUCUUAUCCAUCAGCCUCGCCCAUUUUGCUCCAAUUUGAGAGAGAAUUGAAAUUGGUGAAUCUGAUAUGGCUAUGCAUGCUGUUCAAUACGACUCUUACGGCAGCGGCUCCGCUGGAUUGAAGCAUGUGGAAGUUCCUGUACCUACUCCGAAGAAGGAUGAAGUCUUGGUAAAAGUGGAGGCUACAAGCAUAAAUCCUUUGACUGGAAAAUUCAGAAGGGCAUGCUUCGUCCACUUCUUCCUACCAAGUUUCCUUUUAUUCCUUCUAUCGACGUGGGAGGAGAGGUUGUAGAGGUAGGAUCUAAUGUAAAAAGAUUCAAGGCUGGUGACAAGGUUGUGGCUAUGCUCAAUGCCCUGAAUGGAGGUGGAUCGGCUGAAUAUGCGGUGGCUAAUGAGAGUUUGACUGUUCCAAGACUCGCUGAAGUAUCAGCUGCAGAAGGUGCAGGUCUUAUUGUUGCAGGUCUUACAGCUCUUCAGGCCCUUGUCAAUCAUUCUGAGGUAAAGCUCAAUGGAACUGGACCCCGGAAGAACAUUCUAUUUACGGCUGCCUCAGGUGGCGUCGGUCACUAUGCUGUUCAAUUGGCAAAACUUGGUAACACUCAUGUUACUGCCACCUGUGGAGUGCGCAACAUUGAUCUUGUGAAGAGCUUAGGAGCAGAUGAAGUUCUUGAUUACAAUACCCCAGAGGGAGCAGCUCUUAAGAGUCCGUCAGGCCAAAAAUAUGAUGCAGUGAUUCACUGCACAACAGGCAUCCCUUGGUCUACCUUUGAGCCUAAUUUAAGUUCAAGCGGAAAUGUGAUAGAUAUAACUCCUGCAGUUUGCGCCAUGUGGACCUUUGCGGUAAAGAAAUUGACCUUCUCAAAGAAACAGUUGGUGCCACUGGUUUUAAUUCUGAAGAAGGAGAAUCUGGAAUUGAUUGUUGGGCUUGUGAAGGAAGGGAAACUGAAAACAGUAAUCGACUCAAAAUUUCCUCUGAGCAAGGCUGAAGAUGCUUGGAGCAAGAGUAUUGAUGGACAUGCCACCGGAAAGAUUAUUGUGGAGCCAUAGAGCAGUGUUCUCCCAAAUUAUGUAAUAAAAUGUUUGCGAGGCUUGUGCAGUAUGACCAAAUAAAUAUAUUCAGCUGUAACAACUUCUAUUUGCCUCCUAUGUAUCAUCUUACCUGAUAAUUGUGUUUACUACGUGGCAUUUUACCUGUAUUACAAAGUAUAUACGUGCAUACUUGUCUAA